RNAcentral lists this ribosomal RNA (497 nucleotides) under uncultured bacterium. RNAcentral's name for it is "partial 16S ribosomal RNA". It matches the Rfam family "Bacterial small subunit ribosomal RNA", at positions 28 to 507 of the family's 1533-position model. The record is from RNAcentral.
GAUGAACGCCGGCGGCGUGCCUAAGACAUGCAAGUCGAGCGAACAGACGAGGGGCUUGCUCCUCUGACGUUAGCUGCGGACGGGUGAGUAACACGUGGAUAACCUACCUAUAAGACUGGGAUAACUUCGGGAAACCGGAGCUAAUACCGGAUAACAUGUUGAACCGCAUGGUUCAACAGUGAAAUACGGUCUUGCUGUCACUUAUAGAUGGAUCCGCGCCGCAUUAGCUAGUUGGUAAGGUAACGGCUUACCAAGGCAACGAUGCGUAGCCGACCUGAGAGGGUGCUCGGCCACACUGGAACUGAGACACGGUCCAGACUCCUACGGGAGGCAGAAGUAGGGAAUCCUACGCAAUGGCCGAAAGCCUGACGGAGCAACGCCGCGUGAGUGAAGACGGUCUUCGGAUCGUAAAACUCUGUUAUUAGGGAAGACCAAAUGUGUAAGUAACUAUGCACGUCUUGCCGGUACCUACCCAGAAAGCCACGGCUAACUACGUG